Long non-coding RNA from Dalotia coriaria, 252 nucleotides. RefSeq lists it as uncharacterized. The transcript is spliced from 3 exons. Lineage: Eukaryota; Metazoa; Arthropoda; Insecta; Coleoptera; Staphylinidae. The record is from RefSeq and is a predicted model, not a curated record.
CAUAAUCUCACAUAGUAAUAUACAAAAUGUCAGCGCAAUAUGAAGAAGUCAUAGCUGAAGAGGAAGAAGUCUCACAAAAUCCAAUUAAUUAUAUUGUUUUCUUCUUUGAGAAUUACGGAUGGUAUCUGCCUAUAUCUACAGCAGAAUAAGUCCAUUAGUCUCGAAGAAUAUGAAAAGAAAAGGGAUAGAUAUGAAAACUGAUAAAUUUUCAAGUCUAAGAGUUGCCAGGGAAGAAGCACUGAAGAACAAGAA